RNAcentral lists this ribosomal RNA (253 nucleotides) under uncultured bacterium. RNAcentral's name for it is "partial 16S ribosomal RNA". It matches the Rfam family "Bacterial small subunit ribosomal RNA", at positions 524 to 776 of the family's 1533-position model. The record is from RNAcentral.
UACGUAGGCAGCGAGCGUUGUUCGGAGUUACUGGGCGUAAAGAGUGCGUAGGCGGUUUUCUAAGUUUGGUGUGAAAUCUCCCGGCUCAACUGGGAGGGUGCGCCGAAGACUGGAAGGCUUGAGUAUGGGAGAGGUAAGCGGAAUUCCUGGUGUAGCGGUGAAAUGCGUAGAUAUCAGGAGGAACACCAAUGGCGAAGGCAGCUCACUGGGACGGUAUUGACGCUGAGACGCGAAAGCGUGGGGAGCAAACAGG